GAUGAAGAACGCAGCGAAAUGCGAUAAGUAAUGUGAAUUGCAGAGUUUUGUGAAUCAUCGAAUCUUUGAACGCACAUUGCGCCCCUCGGUAUUCCGACGGGCAUGCCUGUUCGAGCGUCAUUUCAACCCUCAGGCCCCCAGUGCCUGGCGUUGGGGAUCGGCGCGGCGCCCUCCGGGGCGCUGCCGGCCCCGAAAUUCAGUGGCGGUCUCGCUGUAGCCCUCCUCCGCGUAGUAGCACAACCUCGCGGCCUGGAGCUCGGCGGUGGCCAUGCCGUAAAACACCCCACUUCUGAAAGUUGACCUCGGAUCAGGUAGGAAUACCCGCUGAACUUAAGCAUAUCAAUAAGCGGAGGA
This 354-nucleotide unclassified non-coding RNA is filed under the name soil metagenome. RNAcentral's name for it is "partial contains 5.8S ribosomal RNA, internal transcribed spacer 2, and large subunit ribosomal RNA". The stretch from base 1 to 120 matches the Rfam family "5.8S ribosomal RNA", at positions 35 to 154 of the family's 154-position model. The record is from RNAcentral.